This 253-nucleotide ribosomal RNA is filed under the name uncultured bacterium. RNAcentral's name for it is "partial 16S ribosomal RNA". It matches the Rfam family "Bacterial small subunit ribosomal RNA", at positions 524 to 776 of the family's 1533-position model. The record is from RNAcentral.
GACAGAGGGUGCAAACGUUGUUCGGAAUUACUGGGCGUAAAGCGCGUGUAGGUGGCGAGGCAAGUCGGGUGUGAAAGCCCUGGGCUCAACCCAGGAAGUGCACUCGAUACUGCCUAGCUAGAGUCCCGGAGAGGUUGGUGGAACUCUCGGUGUAGAGGUGAAAUGCGCAGAGAUCGGGAGGAACACCAAUGGCGAAAGCAGGUACCUGGACUAGUACUGACACUCAGCUGCGAAAGCUAGGGGAGCAAACAGG